RNAcentral lists this ribosomal RNA (253 nucleotides) under uncultured bacterium. Its description in RNAcentral is "partial 16S ribosomal RNA". It matches the Rfam family "Bacterial small subunit ribosomal RNA", at positions 524 to 776 of the family's 1533-position model. The record is from RNAcentral.
UACGGGGGGAGCAAGCGUUGUUCGGAUUUACUGGGCGUAAAGGGCUCGUAGGCGGCGUGUCAAGUCACUCGUGAAAUCUCCGGGCUUAACCCGGAGCGGCCAAGUGAUACUGUCGUGCUAGAGUGCGGAAGGGGCUACUGGAAUUCUUGGUGUAGCGGUGAAAUGCGUAGAUAUCAAGAGGAACACCUGAGGUGAAGGCGGGUUGCUGGGCUGACACUGACGCUGAGGCGCGAAAGCCAGGGGAGCAAACGGG